GGGGAACUUAAUGCGUUAGCUGCGGCACCGACGACGUGGAAUGUCGCCAACACCUAGUUCCCACCGUUUACGGCGUGGACUACCAGGGUAUCUAAUCCUGUUCGCUCCCCACGCUUUCGCUCCUCAGCGUCAGUAAUGGCCCAGAGAUCCGCCUUCGCCACCGGUGUUCCUCCUGAUAUCUGCGCAUUUCACCGCUACACCAGGAAUUCCGAUCUCCCCUACCACACUCUAGUCUGCCCGUAUCGAAUGCAGACCCGGGGUUAAGCCCCGGGCUUUCACAUCCGACGUGACAGACCGCCUACGAGCUCUUUACGCCCAAUAAUUCCGGACAACGCUUGCGCCCUACGUAUUACCGCGGCUGCUGGCACGUAGUUAGCCGGCGCUUCUUCUGCAGGUACCGUCACUUUCGCUUCUUCCCUGCUGAAAGAGGUUUACAACCCGAAGGCCGUCAUCCCUCACGCGGCGUCGCUGCAUCAGGCUUUCGCCCAUUGUGCAAUAUUCCCCACUGCUGCCUCCCGUAGGAGUCUGGGCCGUGUCUCAGUCCCAGUGUGGCCGGUCGCCCUCUCAGGCCGGCUACCCGUCGUCGCCUUGGUGAGCCAUUACCUCACCAACAAGCUGAUAGGCCGCGGGCUCAUCCUUCACCGCCGGAGCUUUUAACCCCCACCCAUGCGAGUGGAAGUAUUAUCCGGUAUUAGACCCCGUUUCCAGGGCUUGUCCAGAGUGAAGGCAGAUUGCCACGUGUACUACCCGUCGCACUAAUCCACGAGUGUCAUGUCGCUGAUGUGUAGACGCGCAGGUCGUCUACAAAACCCAAAGAAUGACAGGGGG
This 828-nucleotide ribosomal RNA is filed under the name Streptomyces tauricus. RNAcentral's name for it is "partial 16S ribosomal RNA". Lineage: Bacteria; Bacillati; Actinomycetota; Actinomycetes; Kitasatosporales; Streptomycetaceae. The record is from RNAcentral.